Trichonephila clavata is the source of this 73-nucleotide non-coding RNA. NCBI's taxonomy places the organism in Eukaryota, Metazoa, Arthropoda, Arachnida, Araneae, Nephilidae. The record is from the annotation of a GenBank genome assembly.
ACUCCUGUAGCGCAAUGAAUAGCGUGUUGGACAUCUGAUCCAAAGCUCGUGGAUUCGAAUCCCACCUAGGAUG